UGGGGAAUUUUGGACAAUGGGCGCAAGCCUGAUCCAGCAAUGCCGCGUGUGUGAAGAAGGCCUUCGGGUUGUAAAGCACUUUUGUCAGGGAAGAAAAGGCUCCUUCUAAUAUAGGGGGCUGAUGACGGUACCUGAAGAAUAAGCACCGGCUAACUACGUGCCAGCAGCCGCGGUAAUACGUAGGGUGCGAGCGUUAAUCGGAAUUACUGGGCGUAAAGCGUGCGCAGGCGGUUCGUUAAGACAGAUGUGAAAUCCCCGGGCUUAACCUGGGAACUGCAUUUGUGACUGGCGAGCUAGAGUAUGGCAGAGGGGGGUGGAAUUCCACGUGUAGCAGUGAAAUGCGUAGAGAUGUGGAGGAACACCGAUGGCGAAGGCAGCCCCCUGGGCCAAUACUGACGCUCAUGCACGAAAGCGUGGGGAGCAAACAGGAUUAGAUACCCCCGUAGUCC
Molecule: ribosomal RNA, 449 nt
Filed under: uncultured bacterium
Lineage: Bacteria
Description: bacterial SSU rRNA
Rfam family: Bacterial small subunit ribosomal RNA
Source: RNAcentral